This is a long non-coding RNA of Lathyrus oleraceus (garden pea), 868 nucleotides long. RefSeq lists it as uncharacterized. The transcript has 3 exons. The record is from RefSeq and is a predicted model, not a curated record. NCBI's taxonomy places the organism in Eukaryota, Viridiplantae, Streptophyta, Magnoliopsida, Fabales, Fabaceae.
GUAGCAAGGGAAAAGAACGAUCAUCAAUAGCAAUAGUGAUAUGGUACACUUUCUUCUCCCAAUAUUCAAGGGCUCAAUACAGGGAAGGUUGAUGAAACCAAAGGAAAUGCAAUGUAUUCAACUUCUUCCUCCAAAAACCAAACUUCAACACCGAUUCUCAACCUCUAGAAAAAAAGAAAACGGAAACCUCAAAGCUACUAGAAAACAAAACUCUCCAUGCCUUCAUCCUCUCACUACGCUUUCUACAUCUAAGAAGAAAAUAAACGCAGGUUCCCCACGAAUCUAACCUUGCAUCAUCUAACACAGAUCGACACUGAGCAAAUGAAACCUACAACAAUCAGACCCAACUAGAUCCCCCACAAAACCAACGCGAAAUAACCGGUAUUGAGAGCUCUCGAACUAAAAAAGGUUUUCAACACAGGCAAAAACCUCUAGGGUCUAAAAAGGGGGCGAGCUGUAACUCAAAAAUUCGCUUGAAUCGGCAAACAGGGUACCGACAACGCAAACAAAUCAAAAACCAAGAAAAUCAAUAAAGCAAAAAAAAGGAUUUUCGACCUUCUUGGAGGUUCGAAGGAAAAAAAGAAAGAGAGAAGAUUUUACCACUGCCUUACGAUUUCGGAGAUAUGCCGACGGAAAAGUGUAUCCCGACUAGGGUUUGGGGAUCAAAAGAGGUCUCUGCCAAGGCCUUUCUGUGCUCAGAAAUUGGAGUGGUCUUUUUGGUGUAUGGUUCGAAAAAUGGGAAAAUGGUGUCUUCACUUGUUUUGCUGCAACAUGCUUGAAUUGAUAUGGUGUAUUGUUGAUGCUCAUGAAUUUGUCCUCAAGGUGAUGCACUCGAUAUGCUGAGGUUUCCUUAUGUUUCACUAUGAUC